GCACAAGCAGUGGAGUAUGUGGUUUAAUUCGAAGCACGCGAAGAACCUUACCAGGUCUUGACAUCCGACUAACGAAGUAGAGAUACAUUAGGUGCCCUUCGGGGAAAGUCGAGACAGGUGGUGCAUGGUUGUCGUCAGCUCGUGUCGUGAGAUGUUGGGUUAAGUCCCGCAACGAGCGCAACCCUUGUCCUUAGUUGCUACGCAAGAGCACUCUAAGGAGACUGCCGUUGACAAAA
RNAcentral lists this ribosomal RNA (236 nucleotides) under uncultured bacterium. RNAcentral describes it as "partial 16S ribosomal RNA". It matches the Rfam family "Bacterial small subunit ribosomal RNA", at positions 923 to 1163 of the family's 1533-position model. The record is from RNAcentral.